UUUCUUAAAGUUAUAAUUUUAAGUAUUUUCUGCUCAAUGUUUAUUAUUAAUAGCCGCAGAAUAACUGUGCUAAGGUAGCAUAAUCAUUAGUUUUUUAAUUAAAAACUAGAAUGAACGAAAUAACAAUUCAACAACUUUUUUAAUUUUAAUUAUAAAAAUUUUAUUAAAUAUAAAAAUAUAUUUAUAAAUUAGAGAGACGACAAGACCCUAUCAAACUUAACUUUAGUUUAGCUGGGGCAGCUUAUUAAUAACUAUUUUAAUUUAAAUAUUUAAAUAAAAGAUCCAAUAAUAUUGAUUUAAUGAGCAAGUUACUGUAGGGAUAACAGCGUUAUAUUUUUUAGAAGUUCUUAUUUAAAAAAAAGAUUACGACCUCGAUGUUGAAUUAUUUAACUUUAAAAAGCAAAAUUUUUAAAAGUAGGUCUGUUCGACCUUUAAAUUUUUACA
This 444-nucleotide ribosomal RNA is filed under the name Oncodamus bidens. RNAcentral's name for it is "partial 16S ribosomal RNA". Lineage: Eukaryota; Metazoa; Arthropoda; Arachnida; Araneae; Nicodamidae. The record is from RNAcentral.